Cercocebus atys (sooty mangabey) is the source of this 137-nucleotide long non-coding RNA. RefSeq lists it as uncharacterized. The transcript is spliced from 2 exons. NCBI's taxonomy places the organism in Eukaryota, Metazoa, Chordata, Mammalia, Primates, Cercopithecidae. The record is from RefSeq and is a predicted model, not a curated record.
CACCUCUAGCUGGUGCUUCUCGGUCUUCCAGCCAGCAUCCUGCAGUCCUGGGGAGAGAUCAUGGGUGCUGCCGGGAAUGCUGGGGACAAGGGAAGAAUUCAUUGAAAUGGCACGCAGAAGAGCGCUGGGAUGGAACA